AACGAACGCUGGCGGCGUGCCUAACACAUGCAAGUCGUGCGAGAAAGUUUCCUUCGGGGAGCGAGUAAAGCGGCGCACGGGUGAGUAACACGUAGGUAACCUACCUUUCAGUCCGGAAUAACCAGCUGAAAAGCUGGCUAAUGCCGGGUAAGACCACGAUCUCUGCGGGGAUCGCGGCCAAAGGCGGCCUCUUCAUGAAAGCUGAUGCUGAGAGAUGGGCCUGCGACCAUUAGCUAGUUGGUGAGGUAACGGCUCACCAAGGCUUUGAUGGUUAGCUGGUCUGAGAGGAUGACCAGCCACACUGGGACUGAGACACGGCCCAGACUCCUACGGGAGGCAGCAGUGGGGAAUAUUGCGCAAUGGGGAAACCCUGACGCAGCGACGCCGCGUGGGUGAUGAA
RNAcentral lists this ribosomal RNA (400 nucleotides) under uncultured bacterium. Its description in RNAcentral is "bacterial SSU rRNA". It matches the Rfam family "Bacterial small subunit ribosomal RNA", at positions 29 to 412 of the family's 1533-position model. The record is from RNAcentral.